UACGAAGGGGGCUAGCGUUGCUCGGAUUGACUGGGCGUAAAGGGCGCGUAGGCGGCGGACACAGUCAGACGUGAAAUUCCUGGGCUCAACCUGGGGGCUGCGUUUGAUACAUGUUCGCUUGAGUUCGGAAGAGGGUCGUGGAAUUCCCAGUGUAGAGGUGAAAUUCGUAGAUAUUGGGAAGAACACCGGUGGCGAAGGCGGCGACCUGGUCCGAUACUGACGCUGAGGCGCGAAAGCGUGGGGAGCAAACAG
Molecule: ribosomal RNA, 252 nt
Filed under: uncultured bacterium
Lineage: Bacteria
Description: partial 16S ribosomal RNA
Rfam family: Bacterial small subunit ribosomal RNA
Source: RNAcentral